UGCAACUCGACUACAUGAAGCUGGAAUCGCUAGUAAUCGCAGGUCAGCAUACUGCGGUGAAUACGUUCCCGGGUCUUGUACACACCGCCCGUCACACCAUGGGAGCCGGAAAUGCCCGAAGCCAGUGACCCAACCUUAGGGAGGGAGCUGUCGAAGGUGGAGCCGGUAACUGGGGUGAAGUCGUAACAAGGUACC
Molecule: ribosomal RNA, 195 nt
Filed under: uncultured bacterium
Lineage: Bacteria
Description: partial 16S ribosomal RNA
Rfam family: Bacterial small subunit ribosomal RNA
Source: RNAcentral